UUCACGCGGAGAUAUAAAGUUGGAUCGCCAAUAACCGGAAGUUAAAAUGCAAACGCUUCACUAGGAAGCGUUUCACGCAGCUGGUGCAAAAUCACUUUUAUUUUUUAUCUGCGGGAAGGAAAAACAGUUUUAUGAUUUUUUUUUUUCCUGUGAGAUAGCACUGUCAUCAAAAUACAGAUGCUUUUCCUACAUCAAUGAUUUUUCACUACAGCCUAAGGGCCUCUUGGCUUUAAAGCUCUAGUUAUUUUUGCUAAUAUAUCAAGAAUUUAACUCCUAACUAUUUCAUAAAUCAACUCCAGAUGCACUGUACAGUACUUAUAUACUUAUUUUCAGACGUACAUUCUGGCUCAGUAGAUUGCCAACUCACCAUUUCAGUGCUUCAAAGUGAUGAUGCUGGGAAUUGUCAGCUCUGAAGACAAGGUUAGCUCACAGGAGCAGAAUGUACUGUGUAAAAUGCUAAUUUAUGAAAGUGUUACAAUCCAUAUAUCUUGCAGGUCGAAUUGCAUGCGUUAUAUGAUCAGAAAUACACAGAGGAUUGAUCUGCCAGUGCUUAUUUUAAAGCAGAAUUCAUGUUGUCUCCAAAGGUGAGGGUGCCAGUGAUGUACUGGGGCAGAAGCUAGAAGGUGCAUCUUUCAACCCACCCCAGCCUGGAGAAGCUGUGGCAAAGCACUCCUGUACCCUGAUAACAAACCCCCGUGGCCUUACCCUCACCCCAACAUUGCUGGGAGCAGUGAGCACCCUGCCCUGCCCAGGAUGAAAAAUAUCUCCUGUGAGCCAAUAGAUGCCCUACUCAUUUUUAAAAAUCUUUUCUCACUUUGAUGGGCUCCUGACCAGCAGAUGACACAUCCUGAGGCCUAUGAGCUGCUGAGGGUGUUGCUUUCCCGUAAACAGUUGCUCUCUGAGAAGCCUCAGUAGCCUCUGCAGCCAAGGGGACUCUGGGGGGCUCUCGCAGACUCCAUUUUACCAUCCUCCUGCCAGCCUGUGGGUAGUCUUUCCUAUUGUAGGUAGGCCUGUGGUGCUCAUAUGAAGGUGACAUCCAGCUCCAAGUUUGCAGUUAAUCAAGUCUACUCGGUGAAGUUGAACAAUUUAAUCAGUGUGUGAUGAAGCCUUGGAUGUAUCUGAGCUGUAUCACAUUAUCUUCAAAUCUAAAGCAAUCGUCAGAGAUUAGAUGGGGGGAACUAAUGACACAGUGGUAGUUCCUGCCCUGAUCCUGCGAGAAAUGCUGUGCAGUCACAUCACAGUACAGCAGUGUGAGCACAGCAGCCUGUACUGUGUGUGGUCAUUGCACGGCCAAGGCCGUGGUAAGUCUCCUAUUCCCGGGACGCUGUCAUGCUGUUUAGUAACCAGAUUACAGCUUGGGUACGCAUUACUUAGCAACCCUUGCCAGGAAUGCUUUUCGUCUGCCUGGUGAGAAGGCUGGGACUCUUCCUUCAGGGGCACUAUCAGAUAAGUGUCCUGUCGCUUGUGCGCGGAGUUUUUGUGAUACGGUGGCAGGGCGAUGGGAGCUGAAGGCCACUUAGAUGUGGCACCGAAUGGCACUGUGUGACUUGGCCCUGUUUCUUGCAGAAAACACAUUCCACCCAUGUUUCAUGCCCUGCCCAGCCUGCUGCUUCAUCUCCAGGAAGGAGGAGAGGAGGGAGGAAGGAGGAAGAAGGUUGUUUUUGGUUAAGGUGCUACUGUCUUGGGACCUGGUUAUUUUAUAUAGUUUCUUUCCAGUUCCAGGCAGCUGUAGAAGUAAGAAAGUACUUUAAACUAGUAGAUUUUUCACGCCUGCUCUCUUUAUGAAGCGCCGUCUUGCUUUUCCGCUGGUCUGACACAUGACUGCCAACCUGGCUCGAUCGGGAGUCUCCAUGUCCACCUAGGCUGGAAGGCACAUCCGGACGGCCGGAGGCGUUGCCGGCUGCCGGCGGUGAUGGCAGAGCCCCGCUUUUCCGGCAGCUCCAGGCCUUGCCAGGGCACGUCAGUAUUUCUUGUCCCUCACUUUCGGGGUGUCUUCCCGGUGCGGGGAACCCCCAAAGCCGGUCAAACCCUCCCGCGGGCGAGGAGCGCACCCCACGCCGGCGGUGCGGGGCGGUGCGGGGCGGUGCGGGGCGCCGGGCUCAGCGCCACCGGGAGCUGCUGAAGUGAGAACUUGAAAGGAGCCGUCGGUGGCGAGAAGAGGCGGACAAAGCAAGCGCCGAGCUACCGAACGCGGCGCUCUGCCGGCGAGUUUUAAGGCGCUUCAAGUCUAAAGAAGAAGUGACAGGGCAAUCAUCUCCCCGGCUUGGCUGCGGAUGGGAGGGUGGAAUCUUGCUAACAGCUCGCGUAUCUGUAUAUUUAAUUGCGACCUGGCUGCAUGUUCCUGUUGAGGAAGGAUGCAGAUCACAAGCGAAUCUAUAAAAACGCAGUUGACAAGCCAAGGAAAGGGAUAACUGACAGAUGAAACGACAGUCAGCGCGGAGCUAACUGGCAAACGCAUCGGUACAAAGUCAGAUACCUUCUUAGAGGAGUAGUAGUUUGUUUUAUUCCGGUUCUCCAGAGUUUUAUCUACUGUCGAUGUGAUGGGGUAGAGAGGAGCUAAUGCGCCCUGUUUAGGAUACACACAUGCAGAUUAGAUCAGGCUUCAGACACCGUGUUUCACUCAAGACUUAGAACAGUUAGAGGAAUAAACCAGGCUUCACCCACCUAGGAAAACAUGGAAUUUUCUUUUAAUGAUUUAAAGGUGAUUUACACUUGUUUAAACACAACCGUUUCACAUACGGAUAGAGGGAGCUAUCGGGAGUUGAUGGGGUCGGGAGCUGGGGCCCGGAGCUCGCCACCACCGUUAUGCGAGGCUGGGGCGCUGGGAAUACCAGCCCAGCUCCCGUUUUCUUCACUUUUGUGUUACUUUAAGUUUUCAAUGAGGCUAGUGUAAUUACGAGGCGUUUAACUUUUUGCCAGGCUCUUUCAUUAUGGGUUUGCAUUUGCACCUCGCUUUUAAGAGAAGUAAUAACAUUCACAGUCAGGGGCAAAUCCUGUUAAUGAACAAAUUAAAGUUCAAACAGUUAUUCAA
Long non-coding RNA from Corapipo altera (White-ruffed manakin), 3031 nucleotides. RefSeq lists it as uncharacterized. The transcript is spliced from 2 exons. The record is from RefSeq and is a predicted model, not a curated record. Lineage: Eukaryota; Metazoa; Chordata; Aves; Passeriformes; Pipridae.